This 478-nucleotide ribosomal RNA is filed under the name uncultured bacterium. RNAcentral describes it as "SSU rRNA". It matches the Rfam family "Bacterial small subunit ribosomal RNA", at positions 26 to 523 of the family's 1533-position model. The record is from RNAcentral.
AGAACGAACGCUGGCGGCAUGCCUAACACAUGCAAGUCGAACGCUCUUGGGGCUUCGGUCUCAGGGGAGUGGCGCACGGGUGAGUAGCGCGUGGGAACCUGCCCUGUUGUGGGGGAUAACCGAGGGAAACUUCGGCUAAUACCGCAUAAGCCGGUUGUCUUGAAGGAGAUGGCCGGGAAAGAUUUAUCGCGACAGGAGGGGCCCGCGUCGGAUUAGCUAGUUGGUGGGGUAACGGCCCACCAAGGCGGUGAUCCGUAGCUGGUCUGAGAGGAUGAUCAGCCACACUGGGACUGAGACACGGCCCAGACUCCUACGGGAGGCAGCAGUGGGGAAUAUUGGACAAUGGGCGCAAGCCUGAUCCAGCAAUGCCGCGUGAGUGAUGAAGGCCUUAGGGUUGUAAAGCUCUUUCGCUAGGGACGAUAAUGACGGUACCUAGACAAGAACGCCCCGGCUAACUUCGCGCCAGCAGCCGCGGUAA